RNAcentral lists this ribosomal RNA (713 nucleotides) under Staphylococcus aureus. RNAcentral's name for it is "partial 23S ribosomal RNA". It matches the Rfam family "Bacterial large subunit ribosomal RNA", at positions 328 to 1043 of the family's 2925-position model. The record is from RNAcentral. Lineage: Bacteria; Bacillati; Bacillota; Bacilli; Caryophanales; Staphylococcaceae.
AUUAGACGAAUCAUCUGGAAAGAUGAAUCAAAGAAGGUAAUAAUCCUGUAGUCGAAAAUGUUGUCUCUCUUGAGUGGAUCCUGAGUACGACGGAGCACGUGAAAUUCCGUCGGAAUCUGGGAGGACCAUCUCCUAAGGCUAAAUACUCUCUAGUGACCGAUAGUGAACCAGUACCGUGAGGGAAAGGUGAAAAGCACCCCGGAAGGGGAGUGAAAUAGAACCUGAAACCGUGUGCUUACAAGUAGUCAGAGCCCGUUAAUGGGUGAUGGCGUGCCUUUUGUAGAAUGAACCGGCGAGUUACGAUUUGAUGCAAGGUUAAGCAGUAAAUGUGGAGCCGUAGCGAAAGCGAGUCUGAAUAGGGCGUUUAGUAUUUGGUCGUAGACCCGAAACCAGGUGAUCUACCCUUGGUCAGGUUGAAGUUCAGGUAACACUGAAUGGAGGACCGAACCGACUUACGUUGAAAAGUGAGCGGAUGAACUGAGGGUAGCGGAGAAAUUCCAAUCGAACCUGGAGAUAGCUGGUUCUCUCCGAAAUAGCUUUAGGGCUAGCCUCAAGUGAUGAUUAUUGGAGGUAGAGCACUGUUUGGACGAGGGGCCCCUCUCGGGUUACCGAAUUCAGACAAACUCCGAAUGCCAAUUAAUUUAACUUGGGAGUCAGAACAUGGGUGAUAAGGUCCGUGUUCGAAAGGGAAACAGCCCAGACCACCAGCUAAG